Molecule: long non-coding RNA, 3091 nt
Organism: Capsicum annuum
Lineage: Eukaryota; Viridiplantae; Streptophyta; Magnoliopsida; Solanales; Solanaceae
Exons: 2
Source: RefSeq, a predicted model, not a curated record
AUGAUUGUAGUGACGAAUUUUGUGUGUGAAAUUGCAAGAAUAAUGUGACUUUUCUGUUACAAUUUUUUUUUUCUUUUUAAAAUUGCAUAAUUUUCAUUAGUUGAGUACCAUCACUGAUAUAACUCUUAGAAGAGUGGUUGUGUAUAAAUUUUCUUACCACAAGCAAUGAAUGUGGUCACUUAUUUUUUUUUAAAGCACUUUUCAAAAAACAUUUUUCAUCAUACCAAACACACCCUUGACCUGAUUUUCUUAAUGAAUUCACCAUUAGAUUCUACUUCUUUUAGGCAUGAAUAUUUGAAAUUCACUGGUACAAUCAAUUCAAUGUCAAACGUGUGGCAGAAAGAUUUUUCCUAUCAAAAAGUUCGAACCUGAAAUUUUUGAUUAUCAAGGAAUCUCAACUAUCCCGCUACAUUCCUGAUGUAUUUUAAAUUCUGGUCAGGAAGCGAGUACCAUCCAAGAAAAUAUGAGCAACAACUUCACUUCAUGUUGUUGCUGUUCUACUGUUAAUUCUGCAAUUUCCAUGAUGAUCAGAAUCUAUGUGCAGACAUCCUCCUCAAUAAGGAAAGUUCUUUGUUUAUUACAAUGGUACUCUUAGUUAGAGAGGAUAUUUAACAAAUGCCUGAGCUUUGAACAUGUUUGAUAAAUUAUGUAAGUGAAUGCAAAUAUACGUGGUGAUGGGUGUUGGAUUAGCGGGUUGGAUCAAACUUAGAACUUCUUAAAAUGGAUUGAUUUAAUAACCAGAUAAUGGCCAGUCCUGUAAACAAAAUCAAAAGAAUCUUCUGAAAAUCCAAAUAGGUGAGUAUAUUUAUUUGCUUUAAAGUAAACUGUACAGGAUUUCAGGACCCCCAAACCUCAAUAACUGGAUGCACACUAAUAGGACUUCUUACAGUUUGUUUUCCAUUAUCUUCAACCCGAGUGAUGGAACCAUAAUUUGUAGAAAAUUUCUCAUCACCUCUAUAGCGAAUAGUCAUACUAUAGCUCUUCUUCUCAUAUUUUUUCCCAAAGGCUAAAACUUGUGGUGAUACUGAUAUUCUGGCGUUCUUGGGAGUUUCCACUUUUGCUGUAUAUUUAGCUGUACCUGAACCAGCAUUUGUAACUGUCCUUGUGAAUUUCUUGACAAACCAAGGGAAAUUUUUCUGCUCAAUGUCAGACUCCCAUAGAGCAAUGAAUGAUGGAUAAUUGAGAUCAGCUGAUGGGGUUGAGUAGUUGUGGUAAUUUGCUGAUGAUCUUGCAAAUGUUUUGAACUGAUCUUCGGUGAAAUUCAUAGAGCAUAUAAGAUUUAUGUAAUCUUGUGUAGUAGCAUCAUAUAUUAGUCCUGGAUCAAGAGCUCGAUUUGGAUCAAUGAACCCUGCUCCCAUGUCUAGGGGUGUGGCUGGUUCGUUGGUAUCAGAGGCUAUGAUUUGGUCUCUAGUGUUAUCCAACGGGUUGGCAGUGGUCAUCAUUGCUGAUUUAAUAGCUGAUGGACUCCACUCAGGGUGUACAGAUUUUAGCAUUGCAGCAAUUCCAGAUGCAUGAAGACAAGCCAUGGAUGUGCCUGAUUGAAGAAUGUAGUCACUCUCCAAAUCUAUAUUAUGACCAACACGAGUUGCAGAUUUAUCAGGCAGUCUCGGCACCCAAAAUUAGUACCCCUGGUGUCAUUAAAUCAGGCUUUGUGAUUCCAAGAUAGCUUCUAGAGGGUUCUCUACUGGAUGAUACGGCUAGUUUGGGCGCAGGCUUGACAUCUACAUACGUCUCUUGAAAACUUAUGCUCACCGAAGGGUGUUCUGUUUUUGGUACGUAAUUUAUCACUUGUUUACCUUCCUUUGGGCCGAUCACAAUUCCAGGAGUUGGGAAGUUUUUGGAAGUGAGUGCUCUUGGAUCCGAAGAAAUGAAGAUACCUACCCGAAAUCUGACCUCCAUUACAGUGCGCAUUUGAGAGAGCAAUCCAUCUGAACCAUCACAGAUGAUGACUUCAUAGUUGGGAAUGUUGGGAGAAUGAACUUGGGAUAACAACUCAAUCGAAUUGCAAGAAGAGAGGGUCUUGUUAUAUAUCAAAGUUGAAUCCUUGACAAGCGCACUCAAUGGAAACAAACUCCACCCCCUCAUCUUUUGCCCAUUGGCUAGAGUUAGAGUCCCUGCAAAGGUUCGAUCUGUUGUACCAGGUGCAAUGGUCAUGAUCCACGCGUCUCCAUUGCCAAGAGUCCCAAAAUCUGGCCCACUAUGUCCAGCAGAAGCAGAAACUAAGAUGCCCUUCAUCAUGGCACCAAAAGUCGCAAUUGCUAUAGUAUCUUCAUAUAAUGGAAUAUGACGGAAUCCACUAGAAAUCGAUAUUAUGUCUACUCCAUCUGCAACAGCCUGAUCCAUACCAGCAAUCACAUCUGCAGUUGAGGUUGAAAAUUCGGGCCAUGAUAUUUUGUAAAUAGCCAACCUAGCACGGGGAGCUACUCCCUUUGCAGUUCCCGUGGCGUAUCCGAAGUAGGAAACACCAUGGACAUAAUUUCCUGCAGCAAGUGAGGCUACAUGUGUGCCGUGACCGAAAGUAUCUCGGGCAGAAUUCAUGGCUAUAUUUGCUCUAGGAUCAGCAGCUAAAGCUCCCUUAUUGAAAUAAUUAACCCCAAUGAGUUUUCUGUUACACAAUGAAGAGUUGAAAUCUGUGCCUGUUCGGCAAAUUCCCUUCCAUCUUUUCGGGAUUUCAGGCAUGCCAUCAUCCCUAAAGCUAAGCGACUCAGGCCAUAUUCCUGUGUCUACGAUGCCAAUGAUGACAUCUUGGCCAAAAUUAGAAGCUGGCCAAAGACCAAAGGAAGGAUUGAGCUUAAGGAACUCAGGGGUAUGUGUAGUGUGGAGUUCAACAGGUACGUCUUUAUAAGCUGAAACAAAUCCUGGAGACCUUUUCAAAGCUUGUAGCUCAUCUUUAGAAAAAACAGCACUUAAGCCAUGAAAUACAUUGUCAAGAAUAUAGAAGCUUUGAAGCAGAAUGAUAUUGGUCAGUAGAAGAAUCAGAGAUUUUGAUGGAAUCAAUAGUGGAAGAAUGCCAUUGAUGGUAACUAGUAAAGACUUUAGGCAAGAAAUACUUAUCCAAGUGGACAAUAUAUGUUGUUCUCUCUGCUACACA